Molecule: ribosomal RNA, 233 nt
Filed under: uncultured bacterium
Lineage: Bacteria
Description: partial 16S ribosomal RNA
Rfam family: Bacterial small subunit ribosomal RNA
Source: RNAcentral
GAUCAUGGCUCAGGAUGAACGCUAGCUACAGGCUUAACACAUGCAAGUCGAGGGGCAGCAUGGUCUUAGCUUGCUAAGGCCGAUGGCGACCGGCGCACGGGUGAGUAACGCGUAUCCAACCUGCCUUACACUCUUGGACAGCCUUCUGAAAGGGAGAUUAAUACAAGAUGUUAUCAUGAGUAAGCAUUUUCGCAUGAAUUUAAAGGUUUACCGGUGUAAGAGUGGGGAUGUCG